UGGGGAAUAUUGGACAAUGGGGGGAACCCUGAUCCAGCCAUGCCGCGUGUGUGAAGAAGGCCUUAUGGUUGUAAAGCACUUUAAGCGAGGAGGAGGCUCUCUUGGUUAAUACCCAAGAAGAGUGGACGUUACUCGCAGAAUAAGCACCGGCUAACUCUGUGCCAGCAGCCGCGGUAAUACAGAGGGUGCGAGCGUUAAUCGGAUUUACUGGGCGUAAAGCGUGCGUAGGCGGCGUUUUAAGUCGGAUGUGAAAUCCCCGAGCUUAACUUGGGAAUUGCAUUCGAUACUGAGAAGCUAGAGUAUGGGAGAGGAUGGUAGAAUUCCAGGUGUAGCGGUGAAAUGCGUAGAGAUCUGGAGGAAUACCGAUGGCGAAGGCAGCCAUCUGGCCUAAUACUGACGCUGAGGUACGAAAGCAUGGGGAGCAAACAGG
This 430-nucleotide ribosomal RNA is filed under the name Bacillota bacterium. RNAcentral's name for it is "Firmicutes bacterium partial 16S ribosomal RNA". It matches the Rfam family "Bacterial small subunit ribosomal RNA", at positions 355 to 776 of the family's 1533-position model. The record is from RNAcentral. Lineage: Bacteria; Bacillati; Bacillota.